This 341-nucleotide long non-coding RNA is filed under the name Mytilus galloprovincialis (Mediterranean mussel). Lineage: Eukaryota; Metazoa; Mollusca; Bivalvia; Mytilida; Mytilidae. The record is from RNAcentral.
AGAAAAUAUGCAUACAGCUGGGUGGGUAUCUAGCACAGAUAACAGAUUCUGCUGAAGAUACAUGGGUUGUAAACGUGCUGAGAAGUAUGUAAUUGCAUUAUUUAUUGCGCCAGAAAGUAACUUAGUUAGGUUUGUCAUUUCGUCGUCUUUCUUUUCGCUGUGGUGCUGUCUGUAUGGACUUGUGACCAAUUUAGCUGUUCCUUAUUGACUUGUUUUUAAAAUUACAUAACAUAUAUAAUAUUUAUUACAUAGAAAUUAACCAUGAUGAAAUGCAAAAUAAGAUAUUUCUGUAUUUUACAAUUUAUAGCACAAACAAAACGCCAUCAUUUUGUUUAAUUAAC